Molecule: ribosomal RNA, 665 nt
Filed under: uncultured Micromonosporaceae bacterium
Lineage: Bacteria; Bacillati; Actinomycetota; Actinomycetes; Micromonosporales; Micromonosporaceae
Description: bacterial SSU rRNA
Rfam family: Bacterial small subunit ribosomal RNA
Source: RNAcentral
CUUUGGGAUAACCCUCGGAAACGGGGGCUAAUACCGAAUAUGACCUCGCAUCGCAUGGUGUGUGGUGGAAAGUUUUUCGGCCUGGGAUGGGCUCGCGGCCUAUCAGCUUGUUGGUGGGGUGAUGGCCUACCAAGGCGACGACGGGUAGCCGGCCUGAGAGGGCGACCGGCCACACUGGGACUGAGACACGGCCCAGACUCCUACGGGAGGCAGCAGUGGGGAAUAUUGCACAAUGGGCGGAAGCCUGAUGCAGCGACGCCGCGUGAGGGAUGACGGCCUUCGGGUUGUAAACCUCUUUCAGCAGGGACGAAGCGUAAGUGACGGUACCUGCAGAAGAAGCGCCGGCCAACUACGUGCCAGCAGCCGCGGCGAGACGUAGGGCGCGAGCGUUGUCCGGAUUUAUUGGGCGUAGAGAGCUCGUAGGCGGCUUGUCGCGUCGACCGUGAAAACCUGGGGCUCAACCCCAGGCCUGCGGUCGAUACGGGCAGGCUAGAGUUCGGUAGGGGAGACUGGAAUUCCUGGUGUAGCGGUGAAAUGCGCAGAUAUCAGGAGGAACACCGGUGGCGAAGGCGGGUCUCUGGGCCGAUACUGACGCUGAGGAGCGAAAGCGUGGGGAGCGAACAGGAUUAGAUACCCUGGUAGUCCACGCUGUAAACGUUGGGCGC